This 807-nucleotide long non-coding RNA is filed under the name Vulpes vulpes (red fox). RNAcentral's name for it is "lncRNA (ENSVVUG00000001336.1)". Lineage: Eukaryota; Metazoa; Chordata; Mammalia; Carnivora; Canidae. The record is from RNAcentral.
GCCCCAGGAUCGCGGCCGCCACGGAGCUGCUGUUGGAAGCAAAGUGGCGGCCGAUGGACUCGGGGUCGGACUCCAGCAGCCUGAGGUCUGCAAAGUCCCAGAGCAGAAACCUCAGGGCGCGGGCCAUUUCCCUUUAGUCUCUGGUGACCUUAUCAUGAUGAAGAUGAACACGCUGUCGUCCUCGCACCCAUCGCACAGGCCCCGCAGGACGCGGGGAGGCAGGGACCCGUAGACCGGUUCCUGUAGAGGCCCGGGCCUGCCCCCACUGGCGCCGCACCUGGAGGGAAUUCUUGGCAAAUACGUCCCCGGGCACUGGAGGAGCGGAGAGACAGACGUGAGGGAACUCCCGGCCCCUGCUGGCUGCUCCACUUCACUCGCUGGGUGACUGGGACAGGAUGCUCCAAUGUCCCCUUGUGACCCAGAGCAAGUGGGAGCUGAGCAUGACGCCGACUCUAGUUUCCUUCUUAUGGAACACACAUGCCAACGUGGCGAGGGAAUCAAUGCCAGUUUCUUGAGCCGAACAUCUGGACCGUACCUACCGGAAGCCUGGGUGAGCGGUGGCUCCCGGGCGGUAUUGACGGGUCUCCCACUAGGCCGGACCUCUGCUGGGGAAAGAGAAUUGAAGAAAACACGUUCAGCCUCGGGCUACGCUCUAUUGGGAAAGUCACGGCCACUUCUCCGACAUCAGGUUAAUGGAUUCCUGGAGACCUUGCUUUGGACAACUCUUGGAUUGGGAGUCGAUACUUUGACGGUCUGGUGAUACCAUGGGCCCCUCUGGGAAUAAUAAAACAUAAAGAGUUAAAAGCA